This 433-nucleotide ribosomal RNA is filed under the name uncultured bacterium. RNAcentral describes it as "partial 16S ribosomal RNA". It matches the Rfam family "Bacterial small subunit ribosomal RNA", at positions 29 to 507 of the family's 1533-position model. The record is from RNAcentral.
AACGAACGCUGGCGGCAUGCCUAACACAUGCAAGUCGAACGAGACCUUCGGGUCUAGUGGCGCACGGGUGCGUAACGCGUGGGAACCUGCCCUUAGGUUCGGAAUAACUCCCCGAAAGGGGUGCUAAUACCGGAUAAUGUCUUCGGACCAAAGAUUUAUCGCCUUUGGAUGGGCCCGCGUUGGAUUAGCUAGUUAGUAGGGUAAAAGCCUACCAAGGCGACGAUCCAUAGCUGGUCUGAGAGGAUGAUCAGCCACACUGGGACUGAGACACGGCCCAGACUCCUACGGGAGGCAGGAGUGGGGAAUAUUGGACAAUGGGCGAAAGCCUGAUCCAGCAAUGCCGGGUGAGUGAUGAAGGCCUUAGGGUUGUAAAGCUCUUUUACCCGGGAUGAUAAUGACAGUACCGGGAGAAUAAGCUCCGGCUAACUCCGUG